Molecule: ribosomal RNA, 253 nt
Filed under: uncultured bacterium
Lineage: Bacteria
Description: partial 16S ribosomal RNA
Rfam family: Bacterial small subunit ribosomal RNA
Source: RNAcentral
UACGAAGGGGGCUAGCGUUGCUCGGAAUUACUGGGCGUAAAGCGCACGUAGGCGGCUUUCUAAGUCGGGGGUGAAAUCCUGGAGCUCAACUCCAGAACUGCCUUCGAUACUGGAAAGCUCGAGUCCGGGAGAGGUGAGUGGAACUGCGAGUGUAGAGGUGAAAUUCGUAGAUAUUCGGAAGAACACCAGUGGCGAAGGCGGCUCACUGGACUGGUAUUGACGCUGAGGUGUGAAAGCGUGGGGAGCAAACAGG